UACAGAGGUCCCAAGCGUUGUUCGGAUUCACUGGGCGUAAAGCGUGCGCAGGCGGUUGUGCAAGACCGAUGUGAAAUCCCCGGGCUUAACCUGGGAAUGGCAUUGGUGACUGCACGGCUAGAGUGUGUCAGAGGGGGGUAGAAUUCCACGUGUAGCAGUGAAAUGCGUAGAGAUGUGGAGGAAUACCGAUGGCGAAGGCAGCCCCCUGGGAUAACACUGACGCUCAUGCACGAAAGCGUGGGGAGCAAACAGG
Molecule: ribosomal RNA, 253 nt
Filed under: uncultured bacterium
Lineage: Bacteria
Description: partial 16S ribosomal RNA
Rfam family: Bacterial small subunit ribosomal RNA
Source: RNAcentral